Molecule: ribosomal RNA, 430 nt
Filed under: uncultured bacterium
Lineage: Bacteria
Description: bacterial SSU rRNA
Rfam family: Bacterial small subunit ribosomal RNA
Source: RNAcentral
GACGAACGCUGGCGGCGUGCUUAACACAUGCAAGUCGAGCGGUAAGGCCCUUUCGGGGGUACGACGAGCGGCGAACGGGUGAGUAACACGUGGGUGACCUGCCCUCAGCUCUGGGAUAAGCCUGGGAAACUGGGUCUAAUACUGGAUAUGACUCCACGGUGCAUGUCGUGGGGUGGAAAGCCUUGUGCGGCUGAGGAUGGGCCCGCGGCCUAUCAGCUUGUUGGUGGGGUGANGGCCUACCAAGGCGACGACGGGUAGCCGGCCUGAGAGGGCGACCGGCCACACUGGGACUGAGACACGGCCCAGACUCCUACGGGAGGCAGCAGUGGGGAAUCUUGCGCAAUGGGCGAAAGCCUGACGCAGCAACGCCGCGUGGAGGAUGAAGGCCCUUUGGGUUGUAAACUCCUGUCGGCUGGGAAGAAGUUGUUCG